GGAGAAAUACCCAAGAGGCUGAAGGGGUGGGCUUGGAAAGCUCAUAGGUCUGUCAAAGGACGCGAGGGUUCAAAUCCCUCUUUCUCCGCCA
RNAcentral lists this transfer RNA (91 nucleotides) under Mollicutes bacterium. RNAcentral describes it as "tRNA-Ser". It matches the Rfam family "tRNA". From Rfam's summary of the family: Transfer RNA (tRNA) molecules are approximately 80 nucleotides in length. RNAcentral also lists the same sequence under 3 other names. Lineage: Bacteria; Bacillati; Mycoplasmatota; Mollicutes. The record is from RNAcentral.